CCAUUCCUAGUGGGAAGUAUUUUGGUUUUAACUUCCUUUGGAAAAUCUCCCAAGCUUGAGGGGGAAAUAAACAUACUCCAAGAAUCAAAGCUCCUUUUAGAAUUUCAAUUUUAAAUUUUUUUUUUCGGGAACUCUGGCGCUGGCCCUUUAAAUUUUUUUUUCUUCUUAAUCAACAUUUCAUCCCUCUCUUGUUGGCUGCCAAGACCAGCCUUGUCCUGGACUCCCAGGGAUCUGAAAAGUUUUGGCAGGCUGAGGAGGAAAAUGGGCGGAGACACUCACAAAGAGGACAUCCUGGAGGAACUACAAAAGAAGAUGCUGACGUUAAUCGGUGCAGGAGGUCCCAGAGCUCCAGGAUGUCAGAGUGAAUGGAGCAAGCACAUAGGAACAGCGGAAGCACGUGCCUUGUUCUAGCAAUGCCAAAAGCAGAAUCUGUGAUAAAAUCACUUCCUAUCUGUCUGUCUGUCUAUCAUCUAUAUUUCUCUUUUGAGAACUAAAAGGGAACUAAAACUCCCAUCGACAUCGUCCUCAUCCUCUGCUUUCUAUCCCGCUAUCUUCAUAAUCUCUCAGGCACUUCAAAACAGAAGGGUAGUUAGAAAAAGGAAAAGAAAUCUAUCCAUCAAAGGGCAGAGGAUGCGACUCAGUAGCAUGUCCUGGAAAUGCUGGCCUUGUUUGCUCUGAGUAUGUGAUGGUGCUUUAGGACCUACAACAUGAGGGAACUUAAAUUACAUCUCUCAAAACAUUCUUGCCUACUAAAGUGAAUAAACUAU
Molecule: long non-coding RNA, 767 nt
Organism: Cavia porcellus (domestic guinea pig)
Lineage: Eukaryota; Metazoa; Chordata; Mammalia; Rodentia; Caviidae
Exons: 3
Source: RefSeq, a predicted model, not a curated record